GUGCACAUCACGUUGACUUGCUUUUGGUAUGUGUAUUAGCAAUGUUAUUUCUGGUGUGCUAGAUAAAAUUGAAGGCAAAUUAGCAGCAUAGCUUAAUAUAGUUAUUGCUGCCAGUCUCCUUCAGACAGUC
Small nucleolar RNA from Bombina bombina (fire-bellied toad), 130 nucleotides. Lineage: Eukaryota; Metazoa; Chordata; Amphibia; Anura; Bombinatoridae. The record is from RefSeq and is a predicted model, not a curated record.